This 146-nucleotide non-coding RNA is filed under the name Gorilla gorilla gorilla (western lowland gorilla). The record is from Rfam by way of RNAcentral. Lineage: Eukaryota; Metazoa; Chordata; Mammalia; Primates; Hominidae.
GCUGGGAGUGGUGGCACACCUGUAGUCCCAGCUACUGGGGAGGCUGGGGUGGGAGGAUCGCUUGAGCCCGGGAGGUUGAGACUGCAGUGAGCUAUGAUUAUGCCGCUGCACUCCAGCCUGGGCAAUAGAGUGAAACCCUGUCUCUU